Molecule: transfer RNA, 74 nt
Filed under: uncultured archaeon
Lineage: Archaea
Description: tRNA-Val(tac)
Rfam family: tRNA
About the family: Transfer RNA (tRNA) molecules are approximately 80 nucleotides in length. Their secondary structure includes four short double-helical elements and three loops (D, anti-codon, and T loops). Further hydrogen bonds mediate the characteristic L-shaped molecular structure. tRNAs have two regions of fundamental functional importance: the anti-codon, which is responsible for specific mRNA codon recognition, and the 3' end, to which the tRNAs corresponding amino acid is attached (by aminoacyl-tRNA synthetases). tRNAs cope with the degeneracy of the genetic code in two manners: having more than one tRNA (with a specific anti-codon) for a particular amino acid; and 'wobble' base-pairing, i.e. permitting non-standard base-pairing at the 3rd anti-codon position.
Source: RNAcentral
GGGCCUGUAGUCGAAUGGCUAAGACGCUACCCUUACAAGGUAGAGAUUGGGAGUUCGAUCCUCCCCGGGCCCAC